This is a regulatory RNA element of 49 nucleotides. It matches the Rfam family "Ribosomal protein L19 leader". Rfam says of the family: This family is a putative r-protein leader autoregulatory structure found in B. subtilis and other low-GC Gram-positive bacteria. The record is from Rfam.
ACGAUGUUCCGCUGCAAGAAAUAGGUAAAUAGAUAUGCAAGAGCAUCUG